UAUUUUUUGUUUGUUUCUCCUUAUUUUAUGUCACCGGAUGACACGCAAGUUUCAAAAUGAGACACAAGUUUCAUCAUAACAACUGCAUGCGGUCUACUUCAAAGAGGGGUUUUGGCAAAGACUGGAUUUCCAUGGACGAGCGCCUCUCCAAAAGAGAGAAGGACUUCUGAGCUUGUGAUUAGUGGGCUAAAAAUCUGACACCCACAGAGCCGGGCCUUAUGUUGGUGCACUUAAGCCCGUCCCACACCCAGAACUUUGAAGGAGGCAAGUGUGGUAGGCUGCUGCUAGGCUGCAAAGAGCAAGAACGGUGAUUGACACGAGCAGAAAGCUGAAAAAAAAUCAGUCUUUCUGUAGGUAGGCGGAUGAGUGGGGCGAACCAAUCCUCAGCAGAGCUUGUUUUAAUUGCCGUCUGGUAAACAUCAAACGUGAAGAAGAAGAAAAAAACACAGACGAUUCCAUCUUAAGAUACAGGGUGUUUUGGAAAAUAUGUUAUGCUGUGUGAUUUCAUCUAUUGCUUUAUGCUGAACAUAUUGAGAGUUAUUAUAUUCCUGAGAUGCGGGUCAUUAAAAACGGAGCGUCAACUCUUGUUUGCUUUGUUGUCAGAAGUGUGAGCGGUGCAGAUGCUGAGGAGGAGGUUUUACUUGAGGGAACGCUUCAGUGUUUUAACGCUCCGUGCUGUUGUUGUUUUAAUUAAAGUUCACCCAA
Non-coding RNA from Danio rerio (zebrafish), 705 nucleotides. NCBI's taxonomy places the organism in Eukaryota, Metazoa, Chordata, Actinopteri, Cypriniformes, Danionidae. The record is from Ensembl.